Molecule: long non-coding RNA, 679 nt
Organism: Ictalurus furcatus (blue catfish)
Lineage: Eukaryota; Metazoa; Chordata; Actinopteri; Siluriformes; Ictaluridae
Exons: 4
Source: RefSeq, a predicted model, not a curated record
AGAGUGUAGAGUGUUCAUAGUAAACUUAUCAGAUAGUGAAAGAAAUAUUAAAUAUGUGGGUGGUGACCAGUUCCUGUUAUAUAUCCAACACUUCUUCAGACUUACACAGUCGGAGCAGCAGCGUUCAGGUACAGCUCUACAACCAGCGCAGAAGAAAAGAGCUACAGCAACAACAGAUUUGAGGCGCUGUUCACAGAAGCCAGGAUAACUCCAGACAUGUGCUCGCGUUGGGUGUUCGAUAAACCACGACAACAAGUACAAACCCGAUCAAGAGCCCAAACACCAGUCCAAACACCAGCAUACAUACCAACUGAAACAGCAGUCCAAACACCAAAUCCUGCGAACAUAUGUCCCUAAGAAUCUUUUACAGUCAGGACAUGAAUGAUGAACAUCCUGGAAUGCUUGAAUGCAGCAGGGAAUCAAGCAGCAUCCACAGAUGAGCCUGAAACACACAGUAGACGUCUAUCAGUGUUUUUCCACAUGAAAUAAUCACAGUCUCACCUCCACACUAACUCCUCUGUGCUGCCAGGACUUAAUCACGUGACUGACUGAAUUAUUUCCGGAGUUACUCUGAUGUUGUGUCUUACCCCAGAAGUGUAAGCAGACAGCACAUGCCCCAUGCUGCACAUCCGGGUUUAUAAAGCACACUGGUGGUAAUUUGGUGAUGGCAGUGCGGGCA